RNAcentral lists this long non-coding RNA (1489 nucleotides) under Setaria viridis. Its description in RNAcentral is "long non-coding RNA (SVIR_LNC008609)". The record is from RNAcentral. Lineage: Eukaryota; Viridiplantae; Streptophyta; Magnoliopsida; Poales; Poaceae.
ACAACCAGAUGUUAAUAAUACAUAGUGGUUACAACAAAUCCUUCUAUACUGAAAUUACACAAAUACAACUCCCGACAUAGAGAAGAUGCUUGGUCAACAGUACACACACAAACAUAAGUUACAACAGAAGGAAGCUGGCACUGAAACCGGCACAUGGUCCAGUAAAUGAAGGAACAUAAGAUGAUAAGAAGCUGAAAUCUAGUAGAGUCCGCAAAUCCAAGAUUCAUUCAAAACCAUGUGACGGAAGUAUCACCAGAGGACUAGGAGAUUCAGACCAAAGCACUACACCAUAAUCUGACAGAAGACCUUAAGGUACCACCAGAUAAACACGCAUCAGUAGCACAUCAGUAAGAAAACCACAACUUAGAGCAUACAUCCAUGGCCCUCAAAGCAAGAAUAGUACUUAGAAGAAUCUUCAAGCAGAUGGCUUCACAUGUAGCUAGCACUAAACUACACUGCACAGAUAUAGCAAUUAUAAAACCCACAUUCUGAAUUUCCUUGAAAUGAACCUUUCAAUUGAGCUGACUAUUUGAUAAUGAUAGAACAACAAGCCACCUUCAUGAGUGUGUCAAGAGUACUGAAUCAAAAUCCUGUUAUAGUACUGAAUCAAAAUUCUGUUCUAACAGCCAAAUAAAGCAUCGCUAUGUCAACCAUGAAUCCAUGAUUCAUACAGUGCGUGGAUCUGCAUACACCUCACAACCAGCACCAAAUAAUCCGACCAAUACUGCUUGCCGAAAUAAACAGCAAAUUGACACCAUAUACUUGUAAAUUCCAAACACACCUAAGCAAUCAUAUCUUAUCAUAACUAAACCUUCUGAUGAGACUGACUACCAUGAGAGGAACAUGCCAAAUGCAAAAACCGCAGAAUUCUGAGCACUCCACUUGCCUCCAUAUUCCAAUAACAAGUAUCAGGUACAGUUUCCAUCACAAAAAUUAUCCUGAACAGACCAAUCAUCAUGCAAACCAGAGACAGAUCGAGACCAAACCCUUCAGAUUAUCCUGUUUCGGCCAAGCCAAAUUUUCCGUGCUACCCAAUUAAAACCGAUCUGACCUUGAACAGAAAUCGAAACAAAAGAGCUGCAGAACCUUAGAUAUCAACAAAUAGUAAUUAGUCACAAAUCAACACAAAACUAUUUCCCCAAACAGACGGAUCCUGGGGGAAGCAGGGGAAUCAUCCAACCUAGACCUGGAAUCGAACGGAUCGAGCACCGCAAAGUACAAGCAACCCAAUCUAUCCGGCUAGCCCGCGCACCUGAUCAACCAAUCGACAAAACAAACAUGAGAUCGAAAACAACUGCGGCUGGCUCACCUACGACUUACCCAUCACCAGUUCACCACGACACGAUGGAGCAAGCGACUAGGGGAAGCCCCCUCUAUACCACGCCUACCGAUUCUAUUCCACGGUGAGGAAGAGACCCGGGGGUCGGGUGGCUUUAUAGGGCGCACAGGUCGGUAGUUGAUCGUCGGUUCCCCGACGGAGUCGGUUCCG